GCGGAGGCCAGGUCAGC
Molecule: transfer RNA, 17 nt
Filed under: Bulbophyllum cantagallense
Lineage: Eukaryota; Viridiplantae; Streptophyta; Magnoliopsida; Asparagales; Orchidaceae
Description: partial tRNA-His
Source: RNAcentral